RNAcentral lists this ribosomal RNA (255 nucleotides) under uncultured bacterium. RNAcentral describes it as "partial 16S ribosomal RNA". It matches the Rfam family "Bacterial small subunit ribosomal RNA", at positions 524 to 777 of the family's 1533-position model. The record is from RNAcentral.
UACGUAGGGUGCAAGCGUUGUCCGGAAUUAUUGGGCGUAAAGAGCUCGUAGGCGGUUUUGUCGCGUCGAAUGUGAAAACCCGGGGCUCAACCCCGGGCCUGCAUUCGAUACGGGCAGACUAGAGUUCGGUAGGGGAGUCUGGAAUUCCUGGUGUAGCGGUGAAAUGCGCAGAUAUCAGGAGGAACACCGGUGGCGAAGGCGGGUCUCUGGGCAACAACUGACGCUGAGGAGCGAAAGCGUGGGGAGCGAACAGGG